This 482-nucleotide ribosomal RNA is filed under the name uncultured bacterium. Its description in RNAcentral is "partial 16S ribosomal RNA". It matches the Rfam family "Bacterial small subunit ribosomal RNA", at positions 30 to 507 of the family's 1533-position model. The record is from RNAcentral.
AUUGAACGCUGGCGGCAUGCCUUACACAUGCAAGUCGAACGGUAACGGGCCUUCGGGUGCCGACGAGUGGCGCACGGGUGAGUAAUGCAUCGGAACGUGCCCGAUCGUGGGGGAUAACGAGGCGAAAGCUUUGCUAAUACCGCAUACGAUCUACGGAUGAAAGCAGGGGACCGCAAGGCCUUGCGCGGACGGAGCGGCCGAUGGCAGAUUAGGUAGUUGGUGGGAUAAAAGCUUACCAAGCCGACGAUCUGUAGCUGGUCUGAGAGGAUGAUCAGCCACACUGGGACUGAGACACGGCCCAGACUCCUACGGGAGGCAGCAGUGGGGAAUUUUGGACAAUGGGCGCAAGCCUGAUCCAGCCAUGCCGCGUGCAGGAUGAAGGCCUUCGGGUUGUAAACUGCUUUUGUACGGAACGAAAAGCCUUCUUUUAAUACAGGAGGGUCAUGACGGUACCGUAAGAAUAAGCACCGGCUAACUACGUG